Molecule: signal recognition particle RNA, 227 nt
Filed under: human gut metagenome
Description: Bacterial large signal recognition particle RNA
Rfam family: Bacterial large signal recognition particle RNA
About the family: The signal recognition particle (SRP) is a universally conserved ribonucleoprotein involved in the co-translational targeting of proteins to membranes. Archaeal SRP consists of a 7S RNA and homologues of the eukaryotic SRP19 and SRP54 proteins.
Source: RNAcentral
AGCCGGGGGUUCAGCGGUCCCCUGUACCGGAAUAUCCGCUAUAUGCCGGGGUGAUUUCUGUUCGAGGGCUUUUUUGAAAUGACAGCUGCCCUGAAUAAGUGGCGUUGAUACCUGGGUCCUGAGCAAUGGGUGCCUGUGAACCGUGUCAGGUCAGGAAUGAAGCAGCACUAAGCAGGAUUUCUCAUGUGCCUUGGGGGUGCCUGGGUUGAGCUAACUGUUCAGGUAAC